This 239-nucleotide unclassified non-coding RNA is filed under the name uncultured fungus. RNAcentral's name for it is "sequence contains ITS1, 5.8S rRNA gene". The stretch from base 191 to 239 matches the Rfam family "5.8S ribosomal RNA", at positions 1 to 49 of the family's 154-position model. The record is from RNAcentral. Lineage: Eukaryota; Fungi.
UUUCCGUUGGUGAACCAGCGGAAGGAUCAUUACAGAGAUCAUGCCCUCACGGGUAGACCUCCCACCCUGUGUUAUUUACGAUUGUUGCUUUGGCAGGCCGUGGUCACCCACUGUGGGCUAUGCCUGCAUGCGCCUGCCAGAGGACCAAACUCUGAAUAUUAGUGAUGUCUGAGUACUAUAUAAUAGUUAAAACUUUCAACAACGGAUCUCUUGGUUCUGGCAUCGAUGAAGAACGCAGC